Long non-coding RNA from Thunnus maccoyii (southern bluefin tuna), 737 nucleotides. RefSeq lists it as uncharacterized. The transcript has 3 exons. The record is from RefSeq and is a predicted model, not a curated record. NCBI's taxonomy places the organism in Eukaryota, Metazoa, Chordata, Actinopteri, Scombriformes, Scombridae.
CACACACAUACACACACACACUGUGUCCAUGUCUCAGUCUAUGACCUCAGCCGUGUCACCUUUCAGAAGCUGGAUGAUCUAUGGAUUCACAUAGGCUGUCAAAAGAGGCAAAGGAAGGGAAAGGUGUAGAGGAAGGGAGGCUAUUUACAGACCUGGAGUAAAAAGACAACAACAUGCAGACACAAAAGUAGAUAAGAAGAACUGCUACACUGAGAGGCUUUCUGUCUCUCUGUCCUUUCUCCUUUUCUCCUCAUCUUUUUCCUGCUCUGCUGCUGUGAUUGCCUGUCUCCUCGUGGCCUGGUGCCCAGCCACCACUGGGUAGCAUUCCUCACCCCGAGCCAAUGGGAAAAGAGAGGGAUUGGAGGGGGGAGAAGAGAAGAAGGACAAAUGGAAGGAAUGAGAGAAAGAACCAUAGCGGGUCUCCUUAUAUAGAGUUUGAUGUUAUAUGUCAGCUCCGCUCCGUUGUGACCGCGCUUAGCAGGCAAUGAGCAACUUCUUUUCCAAAUUGUUUGUUGUUUUCCAGCUUUUCGACUGUGCCCGCUGGUCGUAAACCUUCCUUUUCAGCCCUUCUGUUUAUAGUCACAUCCACUCACUCUGCUCAUUGCACCGCUCGUAACAACACUCAAACUCAGGCCACAAGAUACCCACACAGUUUGACCACGCAAGGGAUUACUAAAAUACACACAGCCUCUCUUUUUUCUUUUUUUUUUCACAGUGGGAAAUAGAAAUGCCAUAUC